This 264-nucleotide ribosomal RNA is filed under the name uncultured bacterium. Its description in RNAcentral is "partial 16S ribosomal RNA". It matches the Rfam family "Bacterial small subunit ribosomal RNA", at positions 92 to 354 of the family's 1533-position model. The record is from RNAcentral.
CGACCGGCGCACGGGUGAGUAACGCGUAUCCAACCUGCCCUUUACUAUGGGACAGCCCGUCGAAAGGCGGAUUAAUACCGUAUGUUGUCAUGUUGAUGCAUAUUUUCAUGACCAAAGGCUUCGGCCGGUAAAGGAUGGGGAUGCGUCUGAUUAGCUUGCCGGCUGGGUAACGGCCCACCGGGGCGACGAUCAGUAGGGGUUCUGAGAGGAAGGUCCCCCACAUUGGAACUGAGACACGGUCCAAACUCCUACGGAAGGCAGCAG